GAGCUCAUCGUCUAAAGGAUAGGACAUCGGUCUUCUAAAUCGUUAAUGUAGGUUCAAUUCCUACUGGGCUCA
RNAcentral lists this transfer RNA (72 nucleotides) under Chlamydomonas priscui. RNAcentral's name for it is "Chlamydomonas sp. UWO 241 tRNA-Arg". It matches the Rfam family "tRNA". Rfam says of the family: Transfer RNA (tRNA) molecules are approximately 80 nucleotides in length. Their secondary structure includes four short double-helical elements and three loops (D, anti-codon, and T loops). Further hydrogen bonds mediate the characteristic L-shaped molecular structure. tRNAs have two regions of fundamental functional importance: the anti-codon, which is responsible for specific mRNA codon recognition, and the 3' end, to which the tRNAs corresponding amino acid is attached (by aminoacyl-tRNA synthetases). tRNAs cope with the degeneracy of the genetic code in two manners: having more than one tRNA (with a specific anti-codon) for a particular amino acid; and 'wobble' base-pairing, i.e. permitting non-standard base-pairing at the 3rd anti-codon position. Lineage: Eukaryota; Viridiplantae; Chlorophyta; Chlorophyceae; Chlamydomonadales; Chlamydomonadaceae. The record is from RNAcentral.